UGGGGAAUUUUGGACAAUGGGGGAAACCCUGAUCCAGCCAUCCCGCGUGUGCGAUGAAGGCCUUCGGGUUGUAAAGCACUUUUGGCAGGAAAGAAACGUCAUGGGUUAAUACCCCGUGAAACUGACGGUACCUGCAGAAUAAGCACCGGCUAACUACGUGCCAGCAGCCGCGGUAAUACGUAGGGUGCAAGCGUUAAUCGGAAUUACUGGGCGUAAAGCGUGCGCAGGCGGUUCGGAAAGAAAGAUGUGAAAUCCCAGAGCUCAACUUUGGAACUGCAUUUUUAACUAACGGGAUAGAGUGGGUCAGAGGGAGGUGGAAUUCCGGGUGGAGCAGUGAAAUGCGUAGAUAUGCGGAGGAACACCGAUGGCGAAGGCAGCCUCCUGGGAUAACACUGACGCUCAUGCACGAAAGCGUGGGGAGCAAACAGG
Molecule: ribosomal RNA, 429 nt
Filed under: Acidobacteriota bacterium
Lineage: Bacteria; Pseudomonadati; Acidobacteriota
Description: Acidobacteria bacterium partial 16S ribosomal RNA
Rfam family: Bacterial small subunit ribosomal RNA
Source: RNAcentral